Molecule: transfer RNA, 85 nt
Filed under: Candidatus Woesebacteria bacterium CG07_land_8_20_14_0_80_44_9
Lineage: Bacteria; Candidatus Woeseibacteriota
Also listed under: 2 other names
Description: tRNA-Tyr
Rfam family: tRNA
About the family: Transfer RNA (tRNA) molecules are approximately 80 nucleotides in length.
Source: RNAcentral
GCUGGGGUGGCGGAGUGGACAAUCGCAUUUCUCUGUAAAAGAAAUGUCCGAAAGGGCUACAUAGGUUCGAAUCCUGUCCCCAGCA